GGGCCAAAUCCACCAACAGAGUCGUUUUUUUCUUUUUCAAUAUUUCUUAUGAGAACUUAACGACUCUCCACUGCCACAGAUGUACAAGGAAAGUUCUCUAUGGAGAGAAGGCAUCAGGAAGUAGUUUGUAAUUCUCACAUCAAAUAAAAGACUUAAUUGUUUUUGACAAAUAAAGGUUUCAUUGUUGAUGAGACACUUAUUAGACAAAAAUAUCCACCAUCACGGGGAUGAAUUGAUAACGAACAUUGAAAUUUAAGCAACUCGCGUUACAACUGCAUGUAUUGCAUCGGCCAGAUGUGGGACUGUUUUGGAGCUCAAACCAGCCAUGCUAAUCCUCCUGCACAAUAAUAAAUGAAUGUCUCGAGUUAUGUGGAAUUUCAGCCUAAAUGAAUGGUUACACAUCAGGGUUAUCGGAAACAUAUAUAUCCAUGCUGUAGGUAGAGAUUAACAGCAAGAGACAGCAGAAGCAAAUAGUUACUGAGACAGCAUCAUUUCUCAUAGUCCUUAAAAAAAUGUACAACAUUGCUGGUCAAACACAAGUUACUCACAAAUAUUAAAUAUAAGGUGUGUGCAAAAGAAUGCAACUCAAACUAAAAAGUAACUAAAUACCACAUCAAACAGUACUUGUUUUCAAAAAUCUUUGGUUCAAGAGUUUGUUUAUAAGAAUUUGUCGUUUUUUAAAUGAACUGUAAGAAUUUAUUUAGACUUCAAAAACUAGUCUUGAUAAUAAAUUCUUGUUAUAAAAAAUGAGCAUAAUGCAGAAAACACAAACAUAUAUGUAUGAUGACUUGAUUCAGAGAAUAAUGGAUUCUAAAAUUUAACCCCCAACAUGUUGCACAUUGCAACUUCAUAUUUAUGAACAGCAAAAGAAAUUGGACAGCAGCACAGUACGCAAGUUAUAGGCACCAUGUUCACACUUAACUGGAACAUAAAGAAACAAAAGAGAAUGUGCAUCCUACUCGUCUGAACUAAUUGAAUAAGUCAGAAAUAAAAUUGUCUUACCCAUCAGAUGUCAGGUAUAUAUGGUACUCUUUAGUCAAGAUGGAAACUUGCUCAGGAUUCAAUCCUGUGAAAGUAAACAUUCCAAUUUGCUUGAUAAUGUGACUCCAAUCACCUGGUGUACCUAUUCAAUUGCAGGAGAAAUAAGUACAACUCAAAUAAAUGUUAACAAGAACUUCUCGCAUGAUAAAGAACCAUACAGAAAGGACAAGCCAAAGGAAUCGCAAAAGAUUCUUUGUAGAGACCAACCUCUAGCACGUAAAGCAUCAAAAAGUUGUUGGCGCAUAUUGAUAAUGCGAUCAGCCAUUGCCUUCAACUCAAUAGUCCAGUCAUUGUACAAAUCCCUGAAAGAGGAGCAAAACAGGUAAGAAUACAUAUGUCUAAGUCCAGCCAAGGGAGGCAGAAGUAUAUUGUCUCACUACCUGUCCUUGAGAAUGGCAGCCACAAUGGAUGCACCAUGAAUAGGAGGACUUGAGUACAUGGGCCUAAUCACAAGUUUCAGUUGGCUCUCAACCCUGCUUGAAACAUCAGCUGACUUGCUGACCUGGGGAGCAGUUGUUGUAGAAAAUGAAAAUCAGGGAAACUCUUCAAAAACACAUGUUACUUGUGGCUACGCUUCUUUAUAUAGAAAAAUCUAAAUUUAUCAAUCACAUUAUUUGUGCUAAAAAGAUAACAUGAUUCAAAUCAUAAGCAGGGAAAAAAUAAUAUUGAAUGGGGCGAAAUACAAGGCCAGCUCACUAAUUACUACUGAUGAAACCCAUAAAAUUGUCUCCAUUUAAUGUUUUGAAAUGCUUACAAUGCUCAAGGCACCAACACGUUCACCAUAAAGACCCAUGUUCUUCGCAUAACUCUGGGCUACCAGCAAUUCUCCACCAUCAGCAACAAACAAACGAACAGGCUGUGCAUCUGCAUCUAGACUUCCACUGGCAAAACCCUGUUGAACAAAAAUAGAUAUAGCUUAAAAAGAGUUUUCAAUAAAAGAAUAUGCAUUGGAGACAUGGUAGAAGUAUAUUCUUGUGUGGACAUUAUUCACCAUAGAUUAUUCCAAGAAAUGGGAAGCUUCAAGAUUCAAGAGAUUAGAAAUGGUUGGAUUUGUGAUUUUGAAGUAAAUAUUUGUAGAUUAUGUCCACAAACAAGUUUCUCAAUGGUAGAAAACAAAAGGCACGAUGUUGGUUGAAUGCAAAAUGCUUGCCUGAUAAGCACUGUCAAAGAAAGGUAACAAAGAUUUUGAUCUUAUCAGAUGUCUAAUCUGCUCCCAUUGUUCAAGCGUUGGAUCAACACCAGUAGGGUUAUGUGCACAUGCAUGUAGCAAAACAACAGAUCCAGAUGGGGCAGAACCAAGAUCCUCAAGAAGUCCUAUAAGGAACAAGGAUGGGGAAAUAACAUUAAAUAAAAUCCAAUUAUGUUAUGGAGUAUUGAUCAUGAUGCAUAUUGUGACACGCGAAUGUUGAUACAAAUGCGAAAAUAAGGAAUGAACAUUUCACAGCUUGAUAGAAUAGUUUCUAACCUUGAAAGUCAAGCCCUCGUGUUGCUGGAGCAUAGUAGCGAUAUGUUUUGACAGUUAAACCUGCCAAGUUGAAAACCUUUGUAUGAUUGCCCCAAGUAGGUGUUGGCAAGUAUAUAAUGCGCUGAAAAGAUCAAGGCAAACAAACACGGUAAGCCCAACGAUAUACAGCAAUAUUGGUUAAAAAAAUAUAAAGGGGAGAAAAAUUUAAGGAUAGAUCACUUUACUUGAUGAUAGUGUUUAGCCAGAAAUUCACCCCCAACUCUUAGCGAACCAGUACCAGAUAAACCUUGAACAGUGGUAACCCUGUUCUCUUGAAUAGCAGGGCUAUAUUCAAAAAAGUUGGCAAGAGAACAGUUAGGAACUGACUGAUAAGAAUAUUUAUCUGCAAACAAGAAAUUAUUGAUUGAACAAGAAAAGUUAAUAUAACAACAUCAAGUUUCAAUUAUUAACCUGUCUGCACCAAAAAUAAGCUUAGCACUCAAUUUGUUGAAAUCAGCGAGCCCAACAAUUGGAAUAUACUCCUUGUUGCGUGACCUAAAUACAAUGCAGAACAGAAAUUUAUAUAAAGACCGAAAGAAAAAAAUUAUCUUUACAAAUGAGCAAAAAGAAAGUAUAGUGAAUCAAGUACUAACAUGUCAUUCAAUAGUUGGCGUUCAACUCGCCUCACAACAUCCAACACAAGGGGCUUACCUUCCUGGUAAGUAUCACAGGCCAUUAGUAAAAGUCACAAGUCACAAUAAGUAAGUAUAAUUUCAAAGCUUAUCUUGACACUUUAAUUGAAGCUUUCAUUGUUCAUUACCUUAUCGAUCUAUCAUUCCUUAAUAUGCAUUUUCAAUGACCAAAUUAUGCAAAAGAUGAUUAUGCAGUAUAGGUCUGUUUGGAAUGACUUAUUUGAGUUUAUCUCCUAACAUAAGAUUUGUGAUAUUGUUUGACAAGCUUAUAAAAACAGCUUACAACACUAGCUCAUAAAUUGUUCUCAGCUUAUUUUCAUAAGUUCUCCAAAAUAGUUUAUGAGAAAACAAUAUAACUUUUUCUUUACUAUCAAAUGGCUUAUACAAAAACGCUGUAAUCAUUUCUGCUAUAAGCUGCAAAUAAGUUGUAUAUCCAAAUAAUGCCUAUAUAUUUCAGAAUGAAGACGUGUUAAACUCCAACACUGACACAUGUGAUUUGCAUUCAAUCACUUCAAUUUUUUAAAUUAUUAUACAUUAGUGUCGUGUCCGAUGUCCAUAUAGAUUAUGUAUCUCAAAUAAAUAAGAUUCUAACCUCAGUUCGGUAAGCACCAACACCCAAGUUGAGCUUAAUUGGGCUUGGAUCCUUGUUGUAAGCGACAGUUACCUAUUUUUCAAACACAGACACAAGAAAUAGACAAAAAAAUAAAAAAUAAAAACAGAGGUAAGAUAACAGAGCAAUCAUCAAUAACAAAAUUUUGGAAUGAAAUUAAAUUUAUGUCACUAUCAAAGUUGCGUAAGCUUCACAAGUCACAACACAAGAAAACAAUUGACAUCAGCAUCAGAACCGUAUCGCUUUGAAAUUCAUUCAUGCGUAAAUUACAAUCAAAAUUGCAUAAUAAUCUAUCAAAUAAAUAAAAAUAACUGAAAUGAAUUAAUAAAUUGAAAUUGUGCAGUUAAGAUCACAGACGAUCUUAAUAUGAUCACGAAAUUGGAUCAAAUAAAAAAAGGUAAAUGAAUAGUGAUCUGAUGAUCGAAGAGAAAGAGAAGAAAACAUACACCGAGGAUAGGAUCUUCAGGAGCACGAACGAGAUGAGCGAAGACGGAAUCAGAAGAAGCGGUUGGAGAAGGAGUGAUGUUUUGAGAAGCCAUUUGAUUUUGAUCGUUAACGUCGAGAAAGUGUUUUGCAAUAGUGUCUAGCCUGCGAUCAGAUGAAGAAGAAUAAGAAGAAGAAAAAGUGGUGGUUGAUUCGAGAAUAAUCGGUGGGCGCAUGCUGUUUGAUGUAUAUAUUCUAUGUAUUAUUUCCUUGGUUUUGGUUCCUAUUUAAAUUUAAUUUAAACUACCAAAAAAUAUGUAGAAAGGUAUACUCUCGUGAACUUUAUGCGGUUUGUAACAAGAAACUUUAUGCUGUUGUUGAAAACUCUAUAUAUGGAGUAAUGAAUUUGUUUGGUUGUGGUUGUACAA
RNAcentral lists this long non-coding RNA (4638 nucleotides) under Medicago truncatula (barrel medic). RNAcentral's name for it is "lncRNA gene19462". The record is from RNAcentral. Lineage: Eukaryota; Viridiplantae; Streptophyta; Magnoliopsida; Fabales; Fabaceae.